AUUUUGCUCAAUGGGCGAAAGCCUGAAGCAGCAACGCCGCGUGAGGGAUGAAGGCCUUCGGGUUGUAAACCUCUUUUCUCAGGGACGAUGAUGACGGUACCUGAGGAAUAAGCCACGGCUAACUACGUGCCAGCAGCCGCGGUAAUACGUAGGUGGCAAGCGUUGUCCGGAUUUACUGGGCGUAAAGAGCGCGCAGGCGGUCGGCUCAGUCGAAUGUGAAAGCCCCCGGCUCAACUGGGGAGGGUCAUUCGAUACUGUCCGACUCGAAGGCAGGAGAGGGAAGCGGAAUUCCCGGUGUAGUGGUGAAAUGCGUAGAUAUCGGGAGGAACACCAGUGGCGAAGGCGGCUUUCUGGCCUGUUCUUGACGCUGAGGCGCGAAAGCUAGGGGAGCGAACGGG
This 398-nucleotide ribosomal RNA is filed under the name uncultured bacterium. Its description in RNAcentral is "bacterial SSU rRNA". It matches the Rfam family "Bacterial small subunit ribosomal RNA", at positions 361 to 776 of the family's 1533-position model. The record is from RNAcentral.